RNAcentral lists this ribosomal RNA (475 nucleotides) under uncultured bacterium. Its description in RNAcentral is "bacterial SSU rRNA". It matches the Rfam family "Bacterial small subunit ribosomal RNA", at positions 30 to 506 of the family's 1533-position model. The record is from RNAcentral.
UUGAACGCUGGCGGCAUGCUUUACACAUGCAAGUCGAACGGUAACAGGUUAAGCUGACGAGUGGCGAACGGGUGAGUAAUGCAUCGGAACGUGCCCGAUCGUGGGGGAUAACGCAGCGAAAGCUGCGCUAAUACCGCAUACGAUCUGAGGAUGAAAGCGGGGGACCGCAAGACCUUGCGCUUUAGGAGCGGCCGAUGUCGGAUUAGCUAGUUGGUGAGGUAAAGGCUCACCAAGGCGACGAUCCGUAGCGGGUCUGAGAGGAUGAUCCGCCACACUGGGACUGAGACACGGCCCAGACUCCUACGGGAGGCAGCAGUGGGGAAUUUUGGACAAUGGGCGCAAGCCUGAUCCAGCCAUGCCGCGUGAGUGAAGAAGGCCUUCGGGUUGUAAAGCUCUUUCGGCGGGGAAGAAAUCGCACUUUCUAAUACAGAGUGUGGAUGACGGUACCCGAAUAAGAAGCACCGGCUAACUACGU